CGUAUCACCCAAGACAACUUUACGGAGUUGACGAUUGACGGAGCGAAGCGACGUCAAAGCGUUCAUUAAAGUCGAGUUGGCUUAGGGAUACGUUCGUUGGGUAGGGGAGCGUUCUGUAAGCCUGUGAAGGUGGCCUGUGAGGGUUGCUGGAGGUAUCAGAAGUGCGAAUGCUGACAUAAGUAACGAUAAAGCGGGUGAAAAGCCCGCUCGCCGGAAGACCAAGGGUUCCUGUCCAACGUUAAUCGGGGCAGGGUGAGUCGACCCCUAAGGCGAGGCCGAAAGGCGUAGUCGAUGGGAAACGGGUUAAUAUUCCCGUACUUGGUGUUACUGCGAAGGGGGGACGGAGAAGGCUAUGUUGGCCGGGCGACGGUUGUCCCGGUUUAAGCGUGUAGGUGUGUGUUCCAGGUAAAUCCGGUUCACUUUAACACUGAGGCGUGACGACGAGGCACUACGGUGCUGAAGCAACAAAUGCCCUGCUUCCAGGAAAAGCCUCUAAGCAUCAGGUAACAUCAAAUCGUACCCCAAACCGACACAGGUGGUCAGGUAGAGAAUACCAAGGCGCUUGAGAGAACUCGGGUGAAGGAACUAGGCAAAAUGGUGCCGUAACUUCGGGAGAAGGCACGCUGACAUGUAGGUGAAGUGAUUUACUCAUGGAGCUGAAGUCAGUCGAAGAUACCAGCUGGCUGCAACUGUUUAUUAAAAACACAGCACUGUGCAAACACGAAAGUGGACGUAUACGGUGUGACGCCUGCCCGGUGCCGGAAGGUUAAUUGAUGGGGUCAGCGCAAGCGAAGCUCCUGAUCGAAGCCCCGGUAAACGGCGGCCGUAACUAUAACGGUCCUAAGGUAGCGAAAUUCCUUGUCGGGUAAGUUCCGACCUGCACGAAUGGCGUAAUGAUGGCCAGGCUGUCUCCACCCGAGACUCAGUGAAAUUGAACUCGCUGUGAAGAUGCAGUGUACCCGCGGCAAGACGGAAAGACCCCGUGAACCUUUACUAUAGCUUGACACUGAACAUUGAGCCUUGAUGUGUAGGAUAGGUGGGAGGCUUUGAAGUGUGGACGCCAGUCUGCAUGGAGCCGACCUUGAAAUACCACCCUUUAAUGUUUGAUGUUCUAACGUGGACCCGUGAUCCGGGUUGCGGACAGUGUCUGGUGGGUAGUUUGACUGGGGCGGUCUCCUCCUAAAGAGUAACGGAGGAGCACGAAGGUUGGCUAAUCCUGGUCGGACAUCAGGAGGUUAGUGCAAUGGCAUAAGCCAGCUUGACUGCGAGCGUGACGGCGCGAGCAGGUGCGAAAGCAGGUCAUAGUGAUCCGGUGGUUCUGAAUGGAAGGGCCAUCGCUCAACGGAUAAAAGGUACUCCGGGGAUAACAGGCUGAUACCGCCCAAGAGUUCAUAUCGACGGCGGUGUUUGGCACCUCGAUGUCGGCUCAUCACAUCCUGGGGCUGAAGUAGGUCCCAAGGGUAUGGCUGUUCGCCAUUUAAAGUGGUACGCGAGCUGGGUUUAGAACGUCGUGAGACAGUUCGGUCCCUAUCUGCCGUGGGCGCUGGAGAACUGAGGGGGGCUGCUCCUAGUACGAGAGGACCGGAGUGGACGCAUCACUGGUGUUCGGGUUGUCAUGCCAAUGGCACUGCCCGGUAGCUAAAUGCGGAAGAGAUAAGUGCUGAAAGCAUCUAAGCACGAAACUUGCCCCGA
RNAcentral lists this ribosomal RNA (1692 nucleotides) under Salmonella enterica. Its description in RNAcentral is "partial 23S ribosomal RNA". It matches the Rfam family "Bacterial large subunit ribosomal RNA", at positions 1154 to 2802 of the family's 2925-position model. Lineage: Bacteria; Pseudomonadati; Pseudomonadota; Gammaproteobacteria; Enterobacterales; Enterobacteriaceae. The record is from RNAcentral.